Molecule: ribosomal RNA, 468 nt
Filed under: uncultured bacterium
Lineage: Bacteria
Description: partial 16S ribosomal RNA
Rfam family: Bacterial small subunit ribosomal RNA
Source: RNAcentral
GAUGAACGCUGGCGGCGUGCUUAACACAUGCAAGUCGAACGGAAAGGCCCUGCUUUUGUGGGGUGCUCGAGUGGCGAACGGGUGAGUAACACGUGAGUAACCCGCCCCUGACUUUGGGAUAACUUCAGGAAACCGGGGCUCAUACCGGAUAGGAGCUCCUGCUGCAUGGUGGGGGCUGGAAAGUUUCGGCGGUUGGGGCUGGACUCGCGGCUUAUCAGCUUGUUGGUGGGGUAGUGGCUUACCAAGGCUUUGACGGGUAGCCGGCCUGGGAGGGUGACCGGCCACCUUGGGCCUGAGAUACGGCCCAGUCUCCUACGGGAGGCAGCAGUGGGGAGUAUUGCGCAAUGGGCGGGAGCCUGAUGCAGCAACGCCGCGUGCGGGAUGACGGCCUUCGGGUUGUAAACCGCUUUCGCCUGUGACGAAGCGUGAGUGACGGUAAUGGGUAAGGAAGCACCGGCUAACUACGUG